GUUUGCAAAGGCAACACAUUAAAAUAGCAGAUUGGCGAAACAAGUCAUUUACCCAAGUGUUGUGGAUUGUUGCCAUGCUCAGACAUAUUAGAAGAUAAUCUGUGUAUACAUGAUGGGUAUUGAAGCUACAAGAUGAUAUUUUCCUUAUCUUAUUGUCUCUAAUCGCUAUCUACCAUAUGCUGGAUUGUUAUCUAGAUUUUCCUUUUGAUCUCCUGUAUAAAUCCUUGUGGUCAUCAUUACAGUGGUGCAUCCAACUCUAAGUGCUACCCAUUUCAUUGGCAAUGACUGAUGCCAAGGUCUUUGAUUGCCGAGUCUUUCCUCCACAGAGUUGAAAAGAUAUGGUGAUUGUCCAGUGUAUGCAGCAAAAAGAAGAGACCCACUUCCAUAUGGUGAAAAAGAUGCCAAAAAAAGCCUGCUGCCAUAGUUUGCAAAAGUGUUAGCUAAUUGAUAUGCCAUGGCCUGUUUACUAAGAUCAUCAUA
This 480-nucleotide unclassified non-coding RNA is filed under the name Hevea brasiliensis (rubber tree). The record is from RNAcentral. Lineage: Eukaryota; Viridiplantae; Streptophyta; Magnoliopsida; Malpighiales; Euphorbiaceae.